AGCAGCCGCGGUAAUUCCAGCUCCAAUAGCGUAUAUUAAAGUUGUUGCAGUUAAAAAGCUCGUAGUUGAAUUUCGGGGUUAGUAGGUUGGUCAUGCCUCUGGUAUGUACUGAUCUCACUGAUUCCUCCCUCUUGACGAACUGUAAUGUCAUUAAUUUGGUGUUGCAGGAAAUCAGGACUGUUACUUUGAAAAAUUAGAGUGUUUAAAGCAGGCUUAGGCUUGAAUACAUUAGCAUGGAAUAAUAGAAAUAGGACGUUUGAUCCUAUUUUGUUGGUUUCUAGGAUCGACGUAAUGAUUAAUA
This 301-nucleotide ribosomal RNA is filed under the name uncultured Glomus. Its description in RNAcentral is "SSU rRNA". It matches the Rfam family "Eukaryotic small subunit ribosomal RNA", at positions 569 to 874 of the family's 1831-position model. The record is from RNAcentral. Lineage: Eukaryota; Fungi; Glomeromycota; Glomeromycetes; Glomerales; Glomeraceae.